UACGUAGGGGGCAAGCGUUAUCCGGAUUCACUGGGUGUACAGGGAGCGUAGACGGCCAUGCAAGCCUGGAGUGAAAGCCCGGGGCCCAACCCCGGGACUGCUCUGGGAACUGUGCGGCUGGAGUGCGGGAGGGGCAGGCGGAAUCCCUGGUGUAGCGGUGAAAUGCGUAGAUAUCAGGAGGAACACCGGCGGCGAAGGCGGCCUGCUGGACCGCGACUGACGUUGAGGCUCGAAAGCGUGGGGAGCAAACAGG
Molecule: ribosomal RNA, 253 nt
Filed under: uncultured bacterium
Lineage: Bacteria
Description: partial 16S ribosomal RNA
Rfam family: Bacterial small subunit ribosomal RNA
Source: RNAcentral